Humulus lupulus (European hop) is the source of this 284-nucleotide long non-coding RNA. RefSeq lists it as uncharacterized. NCBI's taxonomy places the organism in Eukaryota, Viridiplantae, Streptophyta, Magnoliopsida, Rosales, Cannabaceae. The record is from RefSeq and is a predicted model, not a curated record. The transcript is spliced from 2 exons.
GAGCUGGAAUGUUUGUUAGAGAUGCCAAGGCUCUUUGUCCUCACUUAUUGAAAGCAACAGACUUGGCACAGAUGGGCUUCGACAGAGGUGAUGGGAUUCACUGCAAUAGAAAGAUAAAAAAUGACAAUGAUGAGAUACGGGGGCCACAUACUUCUCUGAUUUCUUUGAGUUUCAAUACAUGGUAUGUGUUUGAACUUUGAGGUCCUCAUUUUUGGAGACGACAAUAGCUGUCAAAAACUGAGUUUGCUUUAUUUUUAAUUGAAAUGAAAUCAGUUUUUGGUUUU